AGAAGAAUCUUACAUUGUGAAUCCCGUUACUUCGAAAAUCCUCUCCCAGAUGCGUCUUGCUUUUGAACAGUUGAUGAAAAGGUGGUUGAUGCUUUCGACGUCUGUCUUACAAAGGGCACACCCAUUUGGAUUGAGGUGGUUGAAUGGUGUCUGUCGAGGAUUUGGGAAUUGGAAGCCACUUUCUUUGAAAAUAACACUCUCUUAGCAGAAGCAGUCAAGAAGGAUCCACUACUGCAUAAAGACCAGAUAAGUUUACUCUUUCCAGCAUUUAAAUUAAUGUUAGGAAAAGAAUUUGAGAUAGAAUCCCAUGUAUAAGUUUCUCUUUGAUUCAUUUGUCUUCUGGGCUGCAAAUUUCAUUUGUUUGUAUUUUGAUCCCAAAUAUCUUUGACCGAUGCAUAUUGGUACUGAGCUAGAGCAUAUAGCCUUGCAUAUUUGUUAGAUAGAGGGAUGUUAUCACACCAGUUGCUAUGCCAGAAAGAGAGAUUUUCUCUACUGUUAAUUUUUCAAAUAGCUUUUGAGUCGAACCAAUCAAUCCUUUUUAUGAUAGACCUCCAAGGUUCUUUUGUUGAGUUGUACUUUCUAUUUCUUGGGGUGUCACCAUCAAAUCUUUUUUUGUAUUUUGCAUCAUGACCUUUGUCCAAAGUCUAUUUGGUUCUUGGUGAUAUCUCUAGAUCCACUUUGUUGGGAGGGCGUGGUUUAUAUUUCUAAUUUUGGAACUUCCCAAGCCCCCUUUUUUCUCUGAUGAGGUACAAAGAUUCAAGUUAACCAGAUAAUUUCUAGAAUCGAAGUUGUUUCCUUUCCAAAGGUAGUUUCUCUACACUCUUUCAAUCUCUUUACCAAUCUGAAUAGGAGCUCCAAAUAGAGAUAGGAGAUAAGUAGGUGUACUGGCAAGAGAGGAGUUAAGGAGAGUUAAUCUACCCCCUUUGGAUACUUGAGUAUAUUUCCAUCCAGUGAGUUUCUUUUGAAUUUUUUCAACUGUAUUUGACCAGAAAGCCUUUUAUUGCGUUUUUCCACCUAGAGGGGUUCCCAAGAAGUCAAUGGGGAAAUUAUGUGAAUUGAAGCCCCAAAAAUCUGAAACUACCGUUGUUCUCACUUGGUCAACAUUGAUAGGGCUUAUGGAGGAUUUAGUUGUGUUCAUUUUGAGGCCUGAGACCAUUUCAAAGAUCUUAAUGGCCAUCUUGAAAUUUUCCAUAAAUCUGUCAUUGUCCUCCACAAAAAUGAGUAUGUCAUCUGCAAAUAAUAGAUGAAUGAGACUACAUAAAGCAUCGAAGGUCACACCCUUUAUAGAACCCCUUUCCUCUAAAGUGUUAAGUAGUCUGCUCAGGUAGUCUAGAGGCAGAACAAAUAAGAAGAGGGAUAUUGGAUCUCCUUGACGAAUUUCUCUAGUCGAUUUGAAUCUACCAUGAGGUUUGCCAUUUAUUAAGAUAGAGUAAUGUACACUGCUAAUGCAAGCCUUAAUCCAUUUCCUUUAUCUGUUAAGGUAGCCUUUCAUUUUCAGCAUAAAUUCAAUAAAGUGUCAGUUGAUGGUAUCGAAAGCUUUCUCAAUAUCAAGCUUCAUGAUGAAACCUCUAACCAUGGUGAUUCUCCAGAAAUCUAUGGCUUCAUUAGCAAUCCAUAUAGCAUCUGUGAUCUGUCUAUUGUUGACAAAAGCCAUUUGGUUUUCUACAAUUGUUUCUUCCAAUGUGGACUUGAAUCUGGUAGCCAAUGUUUUUGCUAUGAUUUUGUAUAGAGAUGUGGUGAGUCUGAUCGGCCUAUAGUCUGUGGUCAUCUUACACUUGCUUUUCUUUCCAAUCAGAACUAGAUAUGUGUUGUUUACAUCAUUUGUUGAUGAUGUUAUUUCUAUAAAAGUCAUGGAACACUUCCAUAACAUCGUUUUUGAUUAGUUGCCAAUUUUGUUUAUAGAAAGAUAUAGUGAAGCCAUUCGGGCCUGGUGACUUCCCAUUGCCAAGGGAGUCAAUGGUUUUCUUGACUUCAUCUUCUUUGAACUUAGCACAUAAUCUUUUGUGAUGUCUGGUGUUAAUAGGGCACCAAUUUAGAUUGUUAAUCCAUAGAGUUUCCCUCCUUGCAUCUUUGAAAAGGAGUUGGUAGUGAUUGAUAAAGGCUUCCGCAAUUGCUUGUGAAGUGGUAUAUUUGUAUCCCUUUGAGUGUUCGAUCUCAGUGAUAAGGCUCUUUCUUUGGUAGAUUGAGUAGAUCUUAUGGAAGUAUGUUGUAUUCUGAUCACCUUCCAUAAGCCUGUUCUUUCUAGCCCUUUGGGCCCAAACCUAGGAUUGAAAUGCUUCUAGAUUGCCAACAUCACAUUUGAGAGCCAGUCUUUUGGAGUGGUGCACCGCAUUCAUGUUGAUUUUCGAUUCCAAUUUGUCAAUUGAUUCUAUUUCGGAAAUUAGGAUCUUCCUGGUUUCAAUUUGGCUGCUUAGAGUUCUUUUCUGCCAGGCUCUUAUUUCCUUAGCCAACCACUUAAGUCUUUGAGUAAAGUGAUAACCUGUUUUUCCAUUUUGUAUUGAUCCCUGCCACUAAUGCUUUAUAUUUGUUCUGAAAUCUGACUGCCUUAUAGAAGUAUUAUCAAGUCUGAAUGGACAAGGGUCCCAACUGAUUUGGUUUGCUUCAAGUACUAUGGGGUAAUGGUCUGAUACCGCUCUAAGCAAAGUUCUGGAGCUGUGCUGAUCGUUUUUUUUUCCUAUGAGCCCGUAUAGAAAACCCAUCUAAUCUUGAUAGAGUAGGGUUAACUCUAAGAUUUGACCAUGUGAAGGAGUUAUUUGAUAGAGGUGGGUCAAUUAGUGAAUUCCUAUGAAUAAAAUUGUUGAAUUUAUCCAUAGCUCUCCUGUCUAAGUGCUUUGCAUUCGUUUCUUCCUUCCAUCUUACCAUGUUAAAGUCUUCUGCUAUCAGCCAAUUUAGGUUCCAAGAAUUCUGUAGCAUCUCGAGUUCCAUCCAAAAGCUUUCCCUAUCAGUGUUAUUUGAAGGUCCGUAAACUGCUGAGAGCCACCAAGUAAAACCAUCCUUGUUUUCAACCUGAAUAGAGAUGUUGAAUUUUCCUUUGACCGAGUUUAUCAGUUUGAAGUUGAUAUCAUUCCAUAAAAUUAAGAUCCCCCCUAAUGUACCAGUAGUGUCUAAAGCAAUCAUAUUUUUUUAGGGGAGUGACCAGAUAGAGUUUGCAAUGUGAGUAUACAGAGAUGAAAUUUUGGUUUCAAUUAUAAUGAUGAAGUCAGGUGUACAGUUGGAAAUUAGUUUAAUUAUAUGGGCUCUCUUAAGGGGGGAACCCAACCCUCUUACAUUCCAACAUAAUAACUUCAUGUAAGAUUGGUAUCUCCCUUAGGCUCCUCACCAGGAGUGACUGGAACAUUGUCAAUAACCACAUAUGAAAAGUUAUCCAUGUUAAUCGAAUAUUUUGAGGAUAGCUUUAAUUCAUUCUCUUUGAGCCAUUCAACCAGCUUUUGUUUGAACAAGUUUUCAUCAUGUUCUGUGUUGUGACCUUUCAACGGUUCACUAGGUUCUCCUUUAUAGUGUGUGCUCUUCUGAUCUUUGGUUGUAGGCUGGUAUUUGAACCAUUUUGAGAAUCAAUCAAUUGAGUUUGCUCAAUGAAAUGUUCAUUUAUCUUCUCUAUUUGUUCAAGACUAUUGAGGUCAUCAGAAUUAUAGCUUUUAUCCAUGAUAGAUAGUGAACCCAGGUUGAUUUCUAGAUUAAAUCCUUCAUUUCUAUCAGCUUUCACAAUUAGAGAUUGAAUCUGUGGUUUCUGUGAGCUGGUUGCUUGUUGACCUUUGACUCAAUAGCAUUUUUUUUAGGACCUUUUUGAAGUGGUGUCUCUUGUUUCAGAGGAGAUCAUCUAUUGAUCUUCUUGUGGACUAUUUAAUUUGCUUCGUUUUCUACUUUCCUUGGCAGAGCUGUAAGAAUGUAGAGACUGCGGAGAUGAGAAUGAGACUUUCCUUCUUAAGGAUUUUCUUUGAUUUUUAUCAUAAAUGUUCAUAAUUGAUUUUCCUUUCUCUCUCCUUUUUCUGCUCAAAAUUGAAUCAAAGAAAUUAAAAUCAGAACAAGAUGAGUUAUAAUCCUUGGUUCUUGUGUGAUUUGCUUCUAUUGCAUUAAUGAUAUUAGUGAAGUUGCCUUGAAGUUUUUCUCCUAAGUUUUUCGAUGGUAUGGCAUGAAAUCCGACAAAUCUGAACGUUUCUAAAAAGAAGUUGAAUUCAUCUAAGUCCCUUGUAGCUUCACUUCUGAAAGUACCAUGUAUUCUCACAUUUCUUUCAAUUAACCAUCUGUUUUUUGGUGGAGGGACUAUUUGUAUAAUGUGUACCUGUCCAAAGUCAUCUUUGAUUUGUAUGGAGGCUGGUACAAAACCUGAGUAGUUAUAUUUUACUUUAACUUUUUCUUCUACUAGAUUCUCCAUGUUUAGCGUUUCUUUUGCAACGUCGAUGAAUCCCCCACAAGCAUUUCCAAUGUUGACAAAACUCUCUAGAUUCCAUAGAUGUAAAGGUAUACCUCUGAAUCUAAGCCAUCCUCCGUAGCUAGGGAUAAGUAGGGGUGAGGCAUGUUUAGUUGGUUCCCAUCUUUCAAAUUUGACAGUGUUUACCUACAGUGGACCAUCCUGUUUCACUAUUGUUGCUGCAGAUGAGGGAGGCCAGCUCGACAUCAAGAAAAAUGAUGGCUUUAUUCGAAUGGAAAGGCUUAUAGGAGAAUUCGUAUUCUGUUUGCCUCUUUAGGAGAACAUGAUCUUGCUCCAGUCAUCAUGGAAAUACCUUUUGGUGAUAAUCACAGCAUCUUUCAGAUUCAAUGGUCCUUGAGAAUGACCCUUCCUUUUGUUUUCAAAAGCAGGAUGUUGUUUGCUUGAGCUCUUAUCAGAUGAACAUUUGCUUCUUUUUUUUUCAUCCUCAUUGUUGUCUAAUAGAACCUCUGCAUAUGACUUCUUUGGUGUUUCAAAAUCCGAUGAUGAGAUGUGAUGAGCUUCAAUGGAUUUGCUUAGAGAAGAGCGUGGCCUCUUUAGUAUCCAAUCGGGUGUGAAUGUGAUGAAUGACAGAAAGGUUUUCCAACCUUUUUUAUCUGCACCUUCAGCAUACCUCUUUUCAGUGAAGAAGUCUUUGUUAGUGGGGUUCUCUAUCAACUACUUAAAGCUUUUUCUGAUCUAGUCAAGCGUUUUCGGCGUGAUGUCCAUUGAGAAACUCUUGUGAUGGCCCACCUCUAUUAUCCACAUCUUAAGGAACUUUCUUACUGUCUAGGAAAAGAAUAAAUUAUUUCCUAUCGAUUUGGCAGGUUUUGGGAAGCUGCUUGAUGAACGACAUUUCUGUUGCUUUGUUAGUAAAGUAAAGGAAUGUGUAGUGUACUGUUUUUUAGAAAGAUCUGCUGUUUAAGUUGCAUGUAGAUGUCCUUAAAAAGGAAAUGGUACUUGCAGUAGGUAGUUUCAAUAACUAGUACUUCAAUGAUUUGUAAGAAAAAACGGUUGUUGUCACUUGUAGAGAAUGAAUGAAGAAUGACUGAUUGUUGAGAACUAA
This is a long non-coding RNA of Cucumis melo (muskmelon), 5471 nucleotides long. RefSeq lists it as uncharacterized. Lineage: Eukaryota; Viridiplantae; Streptophyta; Magnoliopsida; Cucurbitales; Cucurbitaceae. The record is from RefSeq and is a predicted model, not a curated record. The transcript has 3 exons.